AUGCGCCCGUCCGCGGGGAACGAGAGGCCGCCGGGGCGCCCCGUGUCCGGCUUCGUGCCCGGUUUCGCCGCCGGGGCCCCUCCGCCGGCGGCGGGGGCCUCGCCGUUCGGGGCCGCUGCUCCGCUCGCGCGCCCCGGUGGUCCGGCCGGCCCCUUCGUCCCGCCGACGCAGCAGCAGGGCCCGCCGGUCCCGCAGGCGGCUGCUUCUCCUCGGGGGUCGUUCGGGGCAGCGCCGCCCGCGGCAAUGGGUGGGUACAGGGGUCCACCGCCGUCACAGGGUUCCUUCGGCGCCGGGCCGCCGCCUCCAGGGCCGUUCAGCACAGCACCGCCGCCUCAAGGUCCCUUCGGCAUGGCACCACCGGCUCAGGGCCCCUUCGGCGCCGCACCUCCUCCUUCCCAGGGACCCAUGGGCGCAGCCCCUCCACCCCAGGGACCCUUUGGCGCAGCACCUCCAACCCAGGGACCCUUUGGCGGCGCCGCACAUCCACCCCAGGGACCCUUUGGCGCCGCGCCGCCGUCUCAAGGCCCUUUUGGCGCAGCACCUCCACCUUUUCGCCCUCCGCCGUCAGCUCUCCCGCAGCCACAGUCUCCCACAGGAAACACUAUGCCUCCACCGACAUAUGUGAGGCCGCCGCCGGUACAAUCGCAGCCCCAGCCUGUGCAAGGGUAUUACCCUGGGGGCCCUAACCCACAGUUUCCGCCGGUCCGGCCAUCGUUUCAACAGCCAAUGCAGAACAUGGCACCGCCUCCGAUGGGGCCACAUUCCUCCUACAGUAACCAGCCAGCAUAUCCUACUACAGGGCCUCCGAUGGGCACGCUCCAGAGCUUAGUGGAGGACUUCCAGUCUCUGUCAGUGAGUUCUGCGCCUGGGUCGCUUGACCCAGGUGUGGAUGUAAAUGGGCUACCACGUCCGCUGUAUGGCGAUGAGGAGCCAGCUAAGGUUUUGGAGGCAUUCCCACUGAAUUGCCACCCGAGGUACUUCCGGCUGACAACCCACACUAUCCCGGCGUCCCAGUCAUUGGUCUCCAGGUGGCAUUUGCCCCUUGGGGCCGUGGUACAUCCUCUCGCAGAAGCACCUGAUGGGGAGGAAGUGCCAGUUGUCAACUUUGGGUCGGCUGGUGUAAUCCGCUGUCGAAGAUGCAGGACAUAUAUAAAUCCUUAUGCAACAUUUGCAGAUGCUGGAAGGAAGUGGCGCUGCAAUCUUUGCACACUGCUCAAUGAUGUUCCUGGCGAGUACUUUUGUGCUCUUGAUGCUAGUGGCAGAAGAUUUGAUGCAGAUCAAAGACCAGAACUUUCUAAGGGAACAGUGGAGUUUGUUGCUCCUACUGAAUAUAUGGUUCGGCCACCAAUGCCGCCCUCGUAUUUCUUUCUUAUUGAUGUCUCAGUAUCUGCAGUUCGGAGUGGGCUGCUCGAGGUAGUUGCGAAGACCAUCAAAUCAUGCCUUGAUGAUCUUCUAGGCUUUCCACGAACACAAAUUGGAUUCUUAACCUUCGACAGCACAUUGCACUUCCACAAUUUCAAGUCUUCUUUGAGUCAGCCUCAAAUGAUGGUGGUUGCCGAUUUGGACGAUGUUUUCCUGCCAUUGCCUGAUGAUCUCUUGGUUAAUUUGGUCGAUUCUAGACCUGUUGUCGAGUCCUUUCUCGAUAACUUGCCCAAUAUGUUUCAGGACAACGUAAAUGUAGAAUCUGCUCUUGGUCCUGCACUUAAAGCAGCAUUCAUGGUUAUGGGUCAAAUUGGGGGAAAGUUGCUUGUCUUCCAGAGUACAUUGCCAUCUCUUGGUAUUGGCCGUUUGAGACUUCGUGGAGAUGAUGUCCGUGCAUAUGGAACAGACAAGGAGCAUAUUCUGAGGAUACCGGAAGAUCCCUUCUAUAAACAGAUGGCUGCUGAGUUCACGAAAAAUCAGAUCGCCGUGGACAUAUUUUCUUUGAGUGACAAGUAUUGUGAUAUAGCUUCCUUAGGUUCUCUGGCGAAAUAUACUGGUGGUCAGGUGUACCAUUAUCCAUCCUUCCAGGCAACUACUCACGGGGAGAAACUUAAACAUGAGCUUAGCAGAGACCUUACUCGGGAGACUGCUUGGGAAUCUGUAAUGCGUAUCAGAUGUGGAAAAGGGGUGCGUUUCACAACAUAUCAUGGUCAUUUCAUGCUAAGGUCCACAGAUUUGUUAGCUCUUCCAGCUGUUGACUCUGAUAAAGCCUUUGCGAUGCAACUGUCGCUAGAGGAGACCCUAAUGACCACGCAGACUGUUUACUUCCAAGUGGCGUUGCUAUAUACAUCAUCUUCUGGUGAACGACGUAUCAGGGUGCAUACGGCAGCUGCACCUGUGGUCACAGAUCUUGGUGAAAUGUAUCGUCAAGCAGAUACUGGUGCCAUUGUGUCAGUGUUGGCUAGAACCGCUGUUGAAAACUCACUGUCUGAUAAGCUGGACAGUGUUCGACAACAAUUACAGUUAAAGCUUGUGAAAAGUUUAAAGGAAUACCGGAAUCUAUAUGUUGUACAACAUCGGAUAGGAGGGAGACUGAUAUAUCCAGAAUCAUUAAGAUACUUGCCAUUAUACAUCCUGGCCCUAUGCAAAUCCCUUGCUGUGCGUGGUGGUUAUGCUGACGUCUCUCUUGAUGAACGUUGCGCUGCUGGUUUCAGUAUGAUGAUACUGCCUGCAAGAAGGCUGCUCAAUUUUAUUUAUCCAUCUCUGUACAGGCUUGAUGAAGUAUUGACAGUGGAACCAGAUAUGAUUGACGGGGCCCUGAAGCGGUUGCCGUUAACCUUGCAGUGCCUAGACACUGCUGGUUUAUAUCUUCUUGAUGAUGGCUUCACCUUCCUAGUAUGGUUGGGUAGGAUGCUCCAACCUGAGCUCAUGAACGACAUUCUUGGAGUCAGCCUCUCAAACUUCCCUGAUCUAUCAAAGAUUCAGUUGAGAGAAUGUGACAACAAUCACUCGAGAAACUUCAUGGCAGUACUAAGAGCCCUAAGGGAGAGGGAUUCUUCAUGUUACCAGCUGCCCCGUGUGGUACGGCAAGGCGAGCAGCCAAGAGAAGGCUUCCUACUUCUGUCCAACCUCGUCGAGGAUCAGAUGGCAGGAACAAGCAGUUACAUGGACUGGAUACUCCAAAUUCACCGCCAAACACAGAGCUCGUGA
RNAcentral lists this ribosomal RNA (3132 nucleotides) under Triticum aestivum (bread wheat). RNAcentral describes it as "partial small subunit ribosomal RNA". Lineage: Eukaryota; Viridiplantae; Streptophyta; Magnoliopsida; Poales; Poaceae. The record is from RNAcentral.